Molecule: long non-coding RNA, 1740 nt
Organism: Seriola aureovittata
Lineage: Eukaryota; Metazoa; Chordata; Actinopteri; Carangiformes; Carangidae
Exons: 2
Source: RefSeq, a predicted model, not a curated record
CAAGCUUGACUCAACUCAAGACCCAGUCUCCGCUGGGGCCUGUGACAUGGUCUGCUUCCAGUGGUGGAAUGUAACCAAGGACAUUUUCUCAAAUACAAAUUUUAGAAAGCAUUUCUUUCUUUCUCUCCCUGUAGGAGAAAAGAAUCCUAACAAGUGUAGUAAUCAAAGCACAUUAUGCAUUAAUGUGUACUGAAAAUUGCUGCAAAUAUAGACACUGCUGCUGUGUCCCGCUUGAAACCAUUCAAACGGGUUGAAAGUAGAGGGAAAUUUAAAUGCGGAAAAUCCUGAAAGACAAGGAAAAGAGGAAACUUGGAGGACAACCUACAACUCUCUGGAGGAGAACUUCAGAACAGAGCUCGCCAAGAGAGAAGAGAACUGGGAGAGGAAAGUAAAACAGAUGGAAGGGGAGAAGACAGAACUAAGUACUGUAAGAGAAGAAGAAAGAACUGGAGGAGCUGUCUGAAAAUACAGAAAAGGAGGAGAUGUUUCCAGUCAGGCAAGAAGAAGGUGAGUACAGAGGUGGAGACAAAAAAGAAUAAAAGAGAAAAGAAGAAGAUGGAAAUUAAAGGUCAGGAUGCACAGAAAAUGAAAGACAAGGAGGUGAAGGGGGAAAUUAAAAAAGAAAACAGGAAAUGGAGGAUAUAAAGAAGAAACAAAAGGACAAGGCAGGGUCCUGUCACGCUCUGGUUGGAUAUCCACCCUCUACUAGUCAUACAGAGCAUCUUACUUAAUCACCAUUUGCUUAUUUGCUUAAAGUACUGACUCAUAUAAUGUAUGGUGGGCAAUGAGCUCAGUGCUUUUGGUCUUUAAUUUUCUGUAUAAAACUAUUAGUCCAUCAAUGGAUUAGUUAAUAGAAAAUAAAUCAACAACUCUUACGAUAUUGUAAACUGAAUGUCUUUGGUUUUGGGACAAAGUGAGCACUUAAAAUACAUCAGGUUGGGCUUUAGGUGAUCUCUAAGGGAUUUGUUUGCACUAUUUUCCAACAUUUAAUGACCACACAAUUAUUGGAAGAAAUAAUCAUUACAUUAAUCAGUAACGAAAAAUAAUAAGUAGUUUCAGCCCUGGUGAACCUAUAAAAAAAGGUCUGUAUUACAGUUAUUAGAGAUGGCUCAAGAACAUGAAAAUUAUCAUGAAAGGAAGUUUCCUGGUGAAGGGGGUGUCACUUCCUGUACUCUUCAUGCUAAACAUAGAUAGAGAGCUGAAGAGAGAAGGCAGGAAGGCUUUGGCAAGAUCACACUGAGAAUCUGAUGUGAGCUCCGGCACUGUGAGUAAAGUUACAUAAUCCCAUUUCCCCUGUUUGAUUAUCACCGAUCUGACAGUAUGUGUUGGAAGCAAUGUGAUGUUCCAAACUGUGCUUAUGAAGCUUUAGCAGAUGGGAGGUGAUGGGAGAAGCAAGAAGAAAGCAUCAUACAGAAAUUUAGUGGAAUCAACUAACCUUUCUUGUUAAUGUAAAUAUGUAAGUUUUGUUAAUUUCAAGCUAAUUCAAUUUAGAAAGUCUACUUUUAAUUUUCAGACCACUCAAGAACUUAAACAAGGGUUGUUCCAACAGGAGUCUUUUGACUUGAACUGAUGAAGUUUUUUUUGUUUUUUUUUGAGAAUAUCUUUACAAACAAGAAAAUCUUUAAAACAUUUCUGUUAACACAAAAGAGCUGAAACAUUUUUCUAAUAUGGAUUUGAAUCAAAUUCUAUUAAGCAGUAUGUUAGCCCUCUGGCUGAAUAAAUUAAGUGUAAUAGAUCAAA